Molecule: long non-coding RNA, 915 nt
Organism: Phyllostomus discolor (pale spear-nosed bat)
Lineage: Eukaryota; Metazoa; Chordata; Mammalia; Chiroptera; Phyllostomidae
Exons: 2
Source: RefSeq, a predicted model, not a curated record
ACCAGCUAGUCCAAGUCUCCACCCUGCCCCACCCCCGCACAUUCCGUAUCAGCCAGCUGGGCCACCUCAGUGUUACUAAGAAGUGGUCUUAACCCCGAGUCACUGCUCACCUGAGUCACUGGUCACCUGAACUGGAACAGGAAAAAGUAACCUCUAGGAAAAUGUGUCUUUGGACCAGUCUUAUGAAACAGACAAAAAAACGCAAGCAUACCACUCUACAUACACAAUAGCCAGGCUUCAAGCUUUAAUACUUCAGUCUUACCUUUGUUGUACUGUUUCUUUUUCUUUACCCUGAUAGGAAGAUACCAGGAAUCUCCUGGGUCAUGGAUGAAAUAAGAUGUAUUUUGGGUGAAAGCUGCAAUAAAGCUACAAACUAGGGUUUGAGGGGGAGAAAGGUCUGUUGCAUACACAGCAACAAGGACAGAAAGAUGAGUUCUCCAGGAAAAGAAAGGGCCAGUGAAGACUCCACAGGGACAAUCAAGUGUGAGGAAGACAAGACACUGCCACCUUUACCUCUGCCGGUCACCUGUGUGUUUAUAACUGAAUAACCUAUAAGGGGACAUGUAUCCCAACUAACUGGAAACAGAAGGCAAUAUCAGGGUAAGGAAGUUGCAUCCUGCUGAAAAGAAUCCUAGAAAUUCUUUAUGGGAGAGGUAGCAUUUGAAACAGAAUCUGAAGAAAACUAGGAUAUUUACAGGACAAGAUGAGUGGACAAAAGCACUGAAAUCAGUACAAGCAAGAGCAGAGGUACAGGAGAGAGAAACUGCUAUGGUUAGGGACCACAAGUAAUCUAGUUAAGCCUGAUUAUGGGAUAUAUUUAAAGAAGAGUAGCUACUAUGGUUAGAAAGUUACAGUGGCAUUAGCAACGGAAGCUCCAUGUGCCAGGUAGAGGUGAGUCAAUUUGGUUUUCAAGGG